This 562-nucleotide ribosomal RNA is filed under the name uncultured bacterium. RNAcentral's name for it is "bacterial SSU rRNA". It matches the Rfam family "Bacterial small subunit ribosomal RNA", at positions 338 to 894 of the family's 1533-position model. The record is from RNAcentral.
CCUACGGGAGGCAGCAGUGGGGAAUAUUGGACAAUGGGCGCAAGCCUGAUCCAGCCAUACCGCGUGUGUGAAGAAGGCCUUUUGGUUGUAAAGCACUUUAAGCGAGGAGGAGGCUCUUGAGGAUAAUACCCUUGAUGAGUGGACGUUACUCGCAGAAUAAGCACCGGCUAACUCUGUGCCAGCAGCCGCGGUAAUACAGAGGGUGCGAGCGUUAAUCGGAAUUACUGGGCGUAAAGCGCGCGUAGGCGGCUUGUUAAGUCGGAUGUGAAAUCCCCGGGCUCAACCUGGGCACUGCAUUCGAUACUGGCAAGCUAGAGUAUGGGAGAGGAAGGUAGAAUUCCAGGUGUAGCGGUGAAAUGCGUAGAGAUCUGGAGGAAUACCGAUGGCGAAGGCAGCCUUCUGGCCUAAUACUGACGCUGAGGUGCGAAAGCAUGGGGAGCAAACAGGAUUAGAUACCCUGGUAGUCCAUGCCGUAAACGNUGUCAACUAGCCGUUGGGACCUUGAGUNUUAGUGCGCGNGCACGCGAGUAGUAGUACGCCGNGGGAGGUACGGUCGCGAGAC